This 953-nucleotide long non-coding RNA is filed under the name Numida meleagris (helmeted guineafowl). Its description in RNAcentral is "lncRNA (ENSNMEG00000013691.1)". Lineage: Eukaryota; Metazoa; Chordata; Aves; Galliformes; Numididae. The record is from RNAcentral.
GCCUAAUGCUCUGCAGCAGAUGUGUGAAAAGUUCCUUUUAUCACAUCCUUCCAAAAAGACCCCAAACAAGAAUUUUACUUUGAUUGUAGCAAUUUUACAAACUCUGAUACAUUAUAAUGUCAUGGAACUGCGUUGAUGAUUAAAUCAUUUCCUCUUACAAAUCACUAAUGUUCUGUGAAGCAGCCAGUGCUAAUUUCAACACUCAUACCAGCUGUAAUGGAAAUGGAAGGAUUUCUUUGGGGAACAAUUGCAUCUAAUUCAACUCCACUGAAGCCAGUGUGGAGCACGUGAUUGAUUUCCAUCAGGCAGAGAAGCUGUCCUUUGAAAGAGCAAGUCCAGAAAGUGUUGAGAACGAACGUACUGAAGCAUGCUGCAGGAACUGGCUUCAUCUUGCUGCCUGAUAAGAAAGCAGAUUGACCAUCUGAGAAGAAUUCAGUGUUUGCUCAAGUGCCCGGGGUUUCCCUGUGACACAGAGAUGCCUGAGACUCAGCAACAGCCCAGCAGUGUUGUCGGUGCUCAGCUCAAACUGGUGUAUCGGGAAGGACUCUCCAGUGCACAUGGCACGUCUGGAAGUGGGGACUGGGCCCUGUCCUUCAUCCUGCUUCAGGCACUGCAGUUUGGCAGCUGCGUAUAGGAGUAAGGUGAGGCUGGACAGCCUGGGAAAUGCCAAAGGGUAAGUAAGGCCUCCACUGAUUUGCAGAGCAUCAACAUUAAAGCAAGCAAUACAAAUAUUUUCUUCUACUGUGUGCCCUGUUUUAAUGGGAAACAGAACAUCCUGGAGGAGUCCUCCAUCAUGAAAACUAGCAUUUAGCAGCAGAGGGAGAGGUCAGAUAUUUAGCUCUGCUUGUCAGUAAGGAAAUUUGGUGCUCUAUAGAAGUUAACCUUUGACUCCCACAGCAGCAGUAGAGGACAAUAUCUCAGCAAAAUUUGCACCCCAUAAAUCUUUGCACUCC